AAUAUGGGACAAUGGGGGUAACCCUGAUCCAGCCAUGCCGCGUGUUUGAAGUAUGUCUUCUGAUUGUAAAUCACUUUAAGUUGGGAGGAAGGGCUUUAGGCUAAUACCCUGAAGUUUUGACGUUACCAACAGAAUAGGCAUCGGCUAACUCUGUGCUAGCAGCCGCGGUAAUACAUAGGGUGCAAGCGUUAAUCGGAAUUACUGGGCGUAAAGCGCGCGUAGGUGGUUCAGUAAGAUGGGUGUGAAAUCCCCGGGCUUAACCUGGGAACUGCUUUCAUAACUGCUGAGCUAGAGUACGGUAGAGGGUAGUGGAAUUUCCUGUGUAGCGGUGAAAUGCGUAGAUAUAGGAAGGAACACCAGUGGCGAAGGCGACUACCUGGACUGAUACUGACACUGAGGUGCGAAAGCGUGGGGAGCAAAC
Molecule: ribosomal RNA, 421 nt
Filed under: uncultured bacterium
Lineage: Bacteria
Description: partial 16S ribosomal RNA
Rfam family: Bacterial small subunit ribosomal RNA
Source: RNAcentral